UUUUGUUAUAUCAAAUGAACUAACUAGGAAAUUUCUCUGAAAAUUAUUAGAAAAGACUGGUUGAAAAGUCUUCAGAGGCUGCCUGCUUUCACCCUUUCUUGAUGGUUCUAUUGUGCAUAUAGAAUUACAUCGAAUUUCAGCAGCUUAAAAAAAAAAAAAAAAAAAAAAAAAGGAGGGCCAAACUCUACGAUCUGGGUUAUCUCCAAACUUCUAACUGUUUGAGCGAAUGGCAGUAGUUGGAGAGACUUUUCUUUCUGCUGUUUUCCAGAUGGCGCUUGAUACUUUGGCUUCAACGAUCCUGAUGGAAUUCGGGUGCCGGUUUGAUAUUGAUAAAGAUCUCAAGAGACUGCGCAGAACCCUGUCAAAAGUCCAACGUGUGCUUAAUGAUGCUGAGGCAAAGCAGAUCAGUGAUCAGGAAGUCAAAUUUUGGCUUAAUGACCUCAAAAAGGUGUUCUUUGAUGCAGAUGACGUGAUAGAUGAAGUUGCAACAGAAGCUUUUCGCUUUAAUCAGCAGAAAAAGGUAACCAACUUGCCCCCUAUAUCCAAAGAUUCUAUUUUAGAACUUGGAAUAGCUCCUAAGAUAAAGGAAAUCAAUGAGAAGUUAGAUGAAAUUGCAAAAGAUGGGGCUGAUCUUGGUUUGAGGGAGGGAGUUGGGGUAGCUUGGACAGAAUCGAGGGACAGGGACAGGGAGAGACUGCAGACUAGCUCCUUGAUAGAUGAAUCUCGGGUUUUUGGUCGGGAGGAGGACACGAAAAAGAUUGUAAAGUUGUUAGUGUCUGAUGAGUUCCACGGAAAUGAUGUUGCUGUUCUUCCCAUUGUGGGGAUGGGAGGCCUGGGCAAGACAACACUUGCUCAGCUUGUAUUCAAUGAUCCCUUGAUUACUAAAGUUUUCGAGCUCAGAAAAUGGAUUUGCGUCUCAGACGACUUCAAUUUCAAUCCUCGAAGGCUUACGAAAUCAAUUCUGGAGUCGAUUGAUGGGAAAAGUCGCGAUCUGGUGGAUUUGGAUACCCUUCAAAACUGUCUUCGUGAUAAGUUGAAGGGGAAAAAGUUCUUGGUUGUGCUUGAUGAUGUGUGGACUGAGAAGGAGAGAGAAUGGGAAACUUUGCGCCUUCCUUUCAGAGCAGGAGAAUUGGGAAGUAAAAUCAUCGUAACUACCAGAAGUAAAAGAGUUGCAUCAAUCAUGGGCACACUUCCAAUUCACCAUUUAGAAGUUCUAUCGGCUGAUGAUUGCUGGUUGUUGUUCAAGCAAAGGGCAUUCAUAGAUGGGAAUGAGGCUGCACAUCCAAACUUAGUAUCAAUUGGUAAGGAAAUUGUAAAGAAAUGUCGAGGUUUGCCUUUAGCGGCAAAGACACUUGGAGGACUCCUGCGUGCAAAGACUGAAGUUACUGAAUGGGAGAAUAUUUUGAAUAGUGAUAUAUGGGAGUUGGAAUAUGAGGAAAAUGAAAUCUUUCCAGCUUUGAGGUUAAGCUACAAUCAUCUUCCAGCACAUCUUAAGCAGUGUUUCAUGUACUGCUCAAUAUUUCCAAAAGAUUACAACUUCGAUAAAGAAAAUUUAGUCUUGUUGUGGAUGGCAGAGGGAUUUGUUCAUUGUAUGGGAAAGAGGCGCUUGGAAGAUGUUGCAUCUGACUAUUUUGACGAUUUAUUGUUGAGGUCUUUGUUUCAACAAUCCAAAACCGAUUCCUCAAAGUUUGUUAUGCAUGACUUGAUUCAUGACCUGGCGCAAUCCGUGGCUGGGGAAAUGUGCUUCAGAUUGGAGCCAGAGAAACUUGAGAAUAUCCCAGAGAUGGUUUGGCAUUCAUCUGUGCUAGUUGACACAUUUAAGUCGGUUACAUUUGAGGCCUUGUACACAAAAAAAAGCUUGCGGACAAUGCUUCUACUGUGCAAUAAAAGUUCACCAAGAGAGAACUCUAAUGUGACGGUCCCCC
This 1925-nucleotide unclassified non-coding RNA is filed under the name Hevea brasiliensis (rubber tree). The record is from RNAcentral. Lineage: Eukaryota; Viridiplantae; Streptophyta; Magnoliopsida; Malpighiales; Euphorbiaceae.